UACAUGUCAAAGUUGAGCCCUCUGGCUCAUGUGUCAACAUCUAACUACUAUGCUUUAUUAGGCCUGAAGGUGAGCGACCAUUACCCUGUGGAGGUAGAGCUGAAAAGAUCAACACCAACAGAACAGAAUAAUGAGAUUGAGAAAUAAUAGCCUAUACAUGGGGACACAGACAAGAGGACAGAGGUGAUGGAACUGAAAAGAGGAAACCUUCUCCUCCUCCAACCAGAGAAGCUACAUUUAGAGAUACAGGUGCUGAAGAUGCAGAUGGCCAAGCUUGGAAAAGUUACAUUGAACUGUGAUUAAGUCUUACCAGAAUACUAGUCAUAUUAGUACUCUAUGUCAUGUUUAUGUUUUAAAAGGUACUGAUAUUUUUGAGAAGAGACUUUUGAAGAGACAUUGCCCCAUUUUUAUGAGAUGCUU
This is a non-coding RNA of Salvelinus sp. IW2-2015, 420 nucleotides long. The record is from RefSeq and is a predicted model, not a curated record. NCBI's taxonomy places the organism in Eukaryota, Metazoa, Chordata, Actinopteri, Salmoniformes, Salmonidae.